RNAcentral lists this ribosomal RNA (443 nucleotides) under uncultured bacterium. RNAcentral's name for it is "partial 16S ribosomal RNA". It matches the Rfam family "Bacterial small subunit ribosomal RNA", at positions 28 to 507 of the family's 1533-position model. The record is from RNAcentral.
GAUGAACGCUGGCGGCAUGCCUAACACAUGCAAGUCGAUCGGUAAGGCUCUUCGGAGUACACGAGAGGCGGACGGCUGAGUAACGCGUAGGAACACACCCUGCAGUGAGGGAUAAGACACCGAAAGGUGUUCUAAUACCGCAUACGGUCUUCGGAUUAAAGCAUUUAUGCGCUGAAGGAGUGGCCUGCGUCAUAUUAGAUAGUUGGUGAGGUAAUGGCUCACCAAGUCGAUGAUGUGUAGCUGGUCUGAGAGGAUGAUCAGCCAGACUGGAACUGAGACACGGUCCAGACUCCUACGGGAGGCAGCAGUGAGGAAUAUUUCACAAUGAGCGAAAGCUUGAUGGGGCAAUGCCGCGUGCAGGAUGAAGGCCCUCGGGUUGUAAACUGCUUUUAUAAGAGAAGAUUAUGACGGUAACUUAUGAAUAAGGGACGGCUAACUACGUG